Molecule: long non-coding RNA, 2226 nt
Filed under: Mytilus galloprovincialis (Mediterranean mussel)
Lineage: Eukaryota; Metazoa; Mollusca; Bivalvia; Mytilida; Mytilidae
Source: RNAcentral
ACCAGGCGGCCACAGACCACAAUUAAUUCCUCUAUUAGUUCUUUAUAACUUUUUGUCUCAUUAAAAAAAAUGGACCUAAUCUUUUUGUCAAAUUUUUUGUGUGUGUAAUGUACAGUACAAGUCCAAAAACAUAUGUCCAAGUUUCAGAAAAAUUGCAUCUGUUUACAACUUACAAAUUUAGCCAAUACACAUCCAUACCCCUAUGGACAAGUCAAGAGAUGUUCCGAAAACUGUAAAUAUCACCUUUUUGCACCUGACCUAAUCACUCUUUCCAUAUCAAAAUCAGUUAAAAUAAAACAUCUAAAAAAUUAUUUCACCUCUCUUCUUUCAUUUCCACCCCAUAAAAAGCUAAGAAAUGAAUUGAGAAAAGGAAAGAAAAAAAUUUAAGAAAAAAUACACUAUAAUUAAGGGGAACUAUAUUCGUGAACAACGAAAAGCGGGGUCAUUAAUUGUGGUCUUGGGCCUAUUAGGGGCCAAAAACUUGACCAAUUCCAAUAAAACUUGGCAUGAUUUAAGCUUAGUGUAUUAUAAGUCAGUUUACAAAGUUUAAAAGCCAUAUGAUAUAUAUUAUAGAAAAUGUGGCAUUUUUUAUAUCUCAACUUUGGUUGCUGAAUUGAGACGUUGAAAUAGAAAAAUUUCAACUUUCAAAUUUUGGCUUCAAAAAUUUCCCCAAAACACCAAAUUGCACUUUUUUAUGUCUCAAUGUAUAAGAUAUUAUAUAUUCAAAGUAAAUGAUAGCAUACUUAAUGUAUGAGACUUAUAAAAAUUUGACAAAAAGUUAAUUUUAUAUGUGCCUAUGCCAAAAAAUAGAGGUUUUCAAAUGAAGCGAGGCCUUAUAUGAAAUGCAAUAUUUUCCACUUACAACAAUUUUCUGAAGUUGUUAAGUUAAAACAAAACAUUUAACAUAUCAUAAAUGUUCUUUUCAUGUAAAUAUAAGUUUCAAAAAGCAUAACACAUGAGUUUUACAUGGUAUUAAGCAAUGUCAAGCUUAAAAUAACAAGUUGUCAAUUUAGGCCGUUCCCUAUAUUUCCAUAUUUAAUUGCAUAUAAAUGAUAUUGGAGAUGGAAAUAUGCUUCUUUUUGCCAAAAUCCUUGCUGAGAUAUGAUCAAAUUUGAAGCCUGGAUGUAACAAGACUGUUGCUUUUAAUUGUAUAUGUAGAAAGUAUGGUCUGAUGCAAAGUUUUUUCAAUUUACUGUUUAAAACCUGCAUGGAAUUUCAGUCUUAAAAUGCCAAUAUUUUAACCACCAGCCAUCCAGCAGAAGAAAAUAAAGGUAUUCUGUGAAACAGACAAGUUUAAACAACCUGUAAUAAGUGCUUUUCAUAUAGAUUCAGUGCAAUCUGUUUAAAGAAAUACAAUUUUAAAGUGCAUAGAACUUCAUAUUUCACUUGCUUCGUACGGACCGCUAGACCUAGACUAUUAAAACAGCACAUUUUAUACUCUUUUUAUGCUUUUAUCCACUUUUCCUUGUGUUCAGAGUUCACAAAUGAGUAAAACACAUGAAAUAAAUACCACAAACACAAAUAGAUAUCAGAAAAAAAUUGUCAGAGAAAAAAUAAGGAUGCUGAUUUUGCAAAAAUGUUGAAAAAAGUGAAAAAGCUACUUUUUGGGCAUAUUAGCUGAAAAGUGACUUUUUUUUACAAAUUUCUAUCAAAUAAAAGUGGAAAUCAUUUCUUCUCAUAUAGUUUGACAAAUCAAUACCAAUAGAUCAUUCAGAGAAGUUGUCAAAGUAUAAAUUCAAAAUUUGCUGAAAUGCACCUCUUAGGCCACAGACCACAAUUAAUUCCUCUAUUAGUUCUUUAUAACUUUUUGUCUCAUUAAAAAAAUUUGACCUAAUCUUUUUGUCAAAUUUUUUGUGUGUGUAAUGUAUAGUUACAAGUCCAAAAACAUAUCCAAAAUUUCAGAAAAUUGCUCUGAUGUAACUUACAAUUUUAGCCAAUACACAUCCAUACCCCUAUGGACAAGUCAAGAGAUGUUCCGAAAACUGAAAAUAUUACCUUUUUGCACUUGACCUAAUCACUCUUUCCAUAUUAAAAUCAGUUAAAAUACCUUCAACAAAAAGUUAUUUCACCUCUCUUCUUUCAUUUCCACCCCAUAAAAACUAACAAAUGAAUGAAAAAGGCAAAGAAAAAAAAUAAAGAAAAAAUACACUAUAAUUAAGGGGAACUAUAUUCGUGAACAACGAAAAGCGGGGUCAUUAAUUGUGGUCUUGGGCCAGGCCUUGACAA